AACGAACGCUGGCGGCGCGCCUAAUACAUGCAAGUCGAGCGAGAAAGUGUAGCAAUACACUUGUAAAGCGGCGAACGGGUGAGGAAUACAUGGGUAAUCUACCAUCGAGUGGGGAAUAACCAACCGAAAGGUUGGCUAAUACCGCGUUACGCCUCCGAGUCUUCGGGUUCGGAGGGAAAGCUGCACUGUGAGUGUAGCGCUCUUUGAUGAGCUCAUGUCCUAUCAGCUUGUUGGUAGGGUAACGGCCUACCAAGGCUUUGACGGGUAGCUGGUCUGAGAGGACGAUCAGCCACACUGGCACUGCGACACGGGCCAGACUCCUACGGGAGGCAGCAGUGGGGAAUUUUGGACAAUGGGGGCAACCCUGAUCCAGCCAUGCCGCGUGAGUGAAGAAGGCCUCGGUUGUAAGCUCUUCGUCCGGACGGAAGUACGUAUCAGCUAAUAACCUCGGUGCGGAGUGACGGUACC
RNAcentral lists this ribosomal RNA (468 nucleotides) under uncultured bacterium. RNAcentral describes it as "bacterial SSU rRNA". It matches the Rfam family "Bacterial small subunit ribosomal RNA", at positions 29 to 479 of the family's 1533-position model. The record is from RNAcentral.